CUGGCUCAGGACGAACGCUGGCGGCGUGCCUAACACAUGCAAGUCGAACGGAGGUUUUCAGCAAUGGAGAUCUUAGUGGCGAACGGGUGAGU
RNAcentral lists this ribosomal RNA (92 nucleotides) under Propionispora hippei DSM 15287. RNAcentral describes it as "16S rRNA. Bacterial SSU". It matches the Rfam family "Bacterial small subunit ribosomal RNA", at positions 19 to 111 of the family's 1533-position model. Lineage: Bacteria; Bacillati; Bacillota; Negativicutes; Selenomonadales; Sporomusaceae. The record is from RNAcentral.